RNAcentral lists this non-coding RNA (175 nucleotides) under Desulfitobacterium metallireducens. The record is from RNAcentral. Lineage: Bacteria; Bacillati; Bacillota; Clostridia; Eubacteriales; Desulfitobacteriaceae. RNAcentral also lists the same sequence under 1 other name.
UUAAUUGUAUUAUUCUUAGGUGCCCCUCACGGGGAGAAUAGGGAAACCGGUGUUAAUCCGGUGCGGACCCACCACUGUAAAGAUGAGCCCUCGCUAAUCCACUGGCAUUUGCUGGGAAGGAGCGUCAGGGUGCUUGAGUCUAAGCCAGGAGACCUGCCUAAGAAGAAAAGUCUUU